Molecule: small RNA, 121 nt
Filed under: Steroidobacter denitrificans
Lineage: Bacteria; Pseudomonadati; Pseudomonadota; Gammaproteobacteria; Steroidobacterales; Steroidobacteraceae
Description: t44 RNA
Rfam family: t44 RNA
About the family: This family consists of a number of bacterial RNA genes of between 135 and 170 bases in length. The t44 gene is found between the map and rpsB genes in all species in the full alignment apart from Shigella flexneri.
Source: Rfam by way of RNAcentral
AUUCUCACUUCAUCAACUCUCACACCUGACCGGCACAUGCGACGGGGUGCCCACCCUGGAAUGCGCGGUUCGAACGCGCGAAUCCGGACGGGUCGUCGCAUGGGGCGGGUGGAGGCUCAAC